CCCGCAGCGGGAGGCUCUGACGCGCGGUCCACACCUUCGGUCGCCGGGACCGCGCCGAGCCACUGGCGAGACCGACCUGCGAUGGC
This 86-nucleotide non-coding RNA is filed under the name unclassified sequences. Its description in RNAcentral is "c-di-GMP sequence". It matches the Rfam family "c-di-GMP-II-GAG riboswitch aptamer". The record is from Rfam by way of RNAcentral.